GAUGAACGCUGGCGGCGUGCCUAAUACAUGCAAGUCGAGCGAACAGACGAGGAGCUUGCUCCUCUGACGUUAGCGGCGGACGGGUGAGUAACACGUGGAUAACCUACCUAUAAGACUGGGAUAACUUCGGGAAACCGGAUCUAAUACCGGAUAAUAUAUUGAACCGCAUGGUUCAAUAGUGAAAGACGGUUUUGCUGUCACUUAUAGAUGGAUCCGCGCCGCAUUAGCUAGUUGGUAAGGUAACGGCUUACCAAGGCAACGAUGCGUAGCCGACCUGAGAGGGUGAUCGGCCACACUGGAACUGAGACACGGUCCAGACUCCUACGGGAGGCAGCAGUAGGGAAUCUGCCGCAAUGGGCGAAAGCCUGACGGAGCAACGCCGCGUGAGUGAUGAAGGUCUUCGGAUCGUAAAACUCUGUUAUUAGGGAAGAACAAAUGUGUAAGUAACUAUGCACGUCUUGACGGUACCUAAUCAGAAAGCCACGGCUAACUACGUG
RNAcentral lists this ribosomal RNA (497 nucleotides) under uncultured bacterium. RNAcentral describes it as "partial 16S ribosomal RNA". It matches the Rfam family "Bacterial small subunit ribosomal RNA", at positions 28 to 507 of the family's 1533-position model. The record is from RNAcentral.